This 71-nucleotide ribosomal RNA is filed under the name Spiroplasma ixodetis. RNAcentral also lists the same sequence under 1 other name. Lineage: Bacteria; Bacillati; Mycoplasmatota; Mollicutes; Entomoplasmatales; Spiroplasmataceae. The record is from RNAcentral.
UGGUGUCCAUGGCGGAGUGGUCACACCUGUUCCCAUCUCGAACACAGCAGUUAAGCACUCCAGCGGCGAAA